RNAcentral lists this long non-coding RNA (277 nucleotides) under Fukomys damarensis (Damara mole-rat). RNAcentral describes it as "lncRNA (ENSFDAG00000032140.1)". Lineage: Eukaryota; Metazoa; Chordata; Mammalia; Rodentia; Bathyergidae. The record is from RNAcentral.
CUGGACUAAAAGCUAUUCCUGCCAUGUUAGCUGCUCCUUUGGACUGGUCUGCAAUCCAUUACCUCCAGCUGGUUGGGUGGCGCCUGCCCAGAGACACACUGAGAGGCAACAGACGUGAGCCCAUUCACUGUGAACCUACUCUUGCCUUCAUAAACGUUGCUGCUUUUUCCCUACCAUCACCGGCUGCGUCCACGUCUUUGUUCAUCACACACCAGAACCUAGGAAGCUGCCCGGGACCCCAUCACCCAGAAAGCGGUACAAACAACAGCACAAGGCC